GGAGGGGUUCCCGAGCGGUCAAAGGGGGCAGACUGUAAAUCUGUUGGCUCAGCCUUCGGAGGUUCGAAUCCUCCUCCCUCCACCA
This 85-nucleotide transfer RNA is filed under the name Gammaproteobacteria bacterium. Its description in RNAcentral is "tRNA-Tyr". It matches the Rfam family "tRNA". From Rfam's summary of the family: Transfer RNA (tRNA) molecules are approximately 80 nucleotides in length. Their secondary structure includes four short double-helical elements and three loops (D, anti-codon, and T loops). RNAcentral also lists the same sequence under 9 other names. Lineage: Bacteria; Pseudomonadati; Pseudomonadota; Gammaproteobacteria. The record is from RNAcentral.